UACGUAGGGUGCAAGCGUUGUCCGGAUUUAUUGGGUUUAAAGGGUGCGUAGGCGGCCUUGUAAGUCAGUGGUGAAAUACUCCAGCUUAACUGGAGGGGUGCCAUUGAUACUGCAGGGCUUGAGUUAAGUUGAAGUUGGCGGAAUUGACGGUGUAGCGGUGAAAUGCUUAGAUAUCGUCAAGAACACCGAUAGCGAAGGCAGCUUACUAGACUGUAACUGACGCUGAUGCACGAAAGUGUGGGGAUCAAACAGG
RNAcentral lists this ribosomal RNA (253 nucleotides) under uncultured bacterium. Its description in RNAcentral is "partial 16S ribosomal RNA". It matches the Rfam family "Bacterial small subunit ribosomal RNA", at positions 524 to 776 of the family's 1533-position model. The record is from RNAcentral.